GCCUGGGUGGCUCAGUUGGUUGAGCAUCCGACUUUGGCUCAGGUCAUGAUCUUGCUGUCCGUGGGUUCAAGCCCCGCAUCAGGCU
Transfer RNA from Felis catus (domestic cat), 85 nucleotides. It matches the Rfam family "tRNA". Rfam says of the family: Transfer RNA (tRNA) molecules are approximately 80 nucleotides in length. Lineage: Eukaryota; Metazoa; Chordata; Mammalia; Carnivora; Felidae. The record is from Rfam.